CUUUCGCAUGAAAGAAGUUUAAAAAAGGACGGCGUAAAGCUGUCGCUAAAGGAUGGACCUGCGAUGCAUUAGCUUGUUGGUAAGGUAACGGCUUACCAAGGCGAUGAUGCAUAGCCGAGUUGAGAGACUGAUCGGCCACAUUGGGACUGAGACACGGCCCAAACUCCUACGGGAGGCAGCAGUAGGGAAUCUUCCACAAUGGACGCAAGUCUGAUGGAGCAACGCCGCGUGAGUGAAGAAGGUUUUCGGAUCGUAAAGCUCUGUUGUUGGUGAAGAAGGAUAGAGGUAGUAACUGGCCUUUAUUUGACGGUAAUCAACCAGAAAGUCACGGCUAACUACGUGCCAGCAGCCGCGGUAAAU
RNAcentral lists this ribosomal RNA (360 nucleotides) under uncultured Lactobacillus sp. RNAcentral's name for it is "bacterial SSU rRNA". It matches the Rfam family "Bacterial small subunit ribosomal RNA", at positions 183 to 525 of the family's 1533-position model. Lineage: Bacteria; Bacillati; Bacillota; Bacilli; Lactobacillales; Lactobacillaceae. The record is from RNAcentral.